This 594-nucleotide ribosomal RNA is filed under the name Dialister pneumosintes. Its description in RNAcentral is "bacterial SSU rRNA". It matches the Rfam family "Bacterial small subunit ribosomal RNA", at positions 382 to 967 of the family's 1533-position model. Lineage: Bacteria; Bacillati; Bacillota; Negativicutes; Veillonellales; Veillonellaceae. The record is from RNAcentral.
UCUGACGGAGCAACGCCGCGUGAACGAAGAAGGUCUUCGGAUUGUAAAGUUCUGUGAUUCGGGACGAAAGGGUUUGUGGUGAAUAAUCAUAGACAUUGACGGUACCGAAAAAGCAAGCCACGGCUAACUACGUGCCAGCAGCCGCGGUAAUACGUAGGUGGCAAGCGUUGUCCGGAAUUAUUGGGCGUAAAGCGCGCGCAGGCGGUUUCUUAAGUCCAUCUUAAAAGCGUGGGGCUCAACCCCAUGAGGGGAUGGAAACUGGGAAGCUGGAGUAUCGGAGAGGAAAGUGGAAUUCCUAGUGUAGCGGUGAAAUGCGUAGAGAUUAGGAGGAACACCGGUGGCGAAGGCGACUUUCUAGACGAAAACUGACGCUGAGGCGCGAAAGCGUGGGGAGCAAACAGGAUUAGAUACCCUGGGUAGUCCACGCCGUAAACGAUGGAUACUAGGUGUAGGAGGUAUCGACCCCUCCUGUGCCGGAGUUAACGCAAUAAGUAUUCCGCCUGGGAAGUACGAUCGCCAGAUUAAAACUCAAAGGAAUUGACGGGGCCCGCACAAGCGGUGGAGUAUGUGGUUUAAUUCGACGCAACGCGAGAA